This 200-nucleotide long non-coding RNA is filed under the name Lathyrus oleraceus (garden pea). RNAcentral describes it as "Pisum sativum (pea) long non-coding RNA (PSAT_LNC013642)". Lineage: Eukaryota; Viridiplantae; Streptophyta; Magnoliopsida; Fabales; Fabaceae. The record is from RNAcentral.
AAACAUAAACAUAAAAAAAAAUGAAUGCUAAAGAAAUAAAAUGCUAUAUAUAGGUAUCGAACCCACUCCACUAAAGACCAUGAAACUACUCCCUCUCCACUAGACAAAUUAUGAUUAGUUAUCAUUUAAAUAACAACUUAAAUAUAUAAACCAUACUAGAUUGGAAAAAAAAAAAGAAACUAAAAUAAUAAUAAUAAUAA